UAUAUCUAAGUAUAAGAUGUAUAGGAAUUUUUGAUGUUUCAGGAGGUGGUUUAAUUCCAUUAGGUAUAA
RNAcentral lists this transfer RNA (69 nucleotides) under Uloma sp. BMNH 1425257. Its description in RNAcentral is "tRNA-Gln". Lineage: Eukaryota; Metazoa; Arthropoda; Insecta; Coleoptera; Tenebrionidae. The record is from RNAcentral.